RNAcentral lists this ribosomal RNA (899 nucleotides) under uncultured archaeon. Its description in RNAcentral is "bacterial SSU rRNA". It matches the Rfam family "Archaeal small subunit ribosomal RNA", at positions 21 to 903 of the family's 1478-position model. The record is from RNAcentral.
CCCCACUGCUAUCGGGAUAGGACUAAGACAUGCUAGUCGAGUGACUCAGGCAAAACGAGUCACGGCGCACAGCUCAGUAACACGUGGCUAAUCUGCCCUUGAGACGAGAAUAACCCCGGGAAACUCGGGCUAACUCUCGAUAGGCGAAGAACUCUGGAAUGAGUCUUCACCCAAAAAGCUUCACGUUAUCCUCGUGAAGUCGCUCAAGGAUGAGGCCGCGACCGAUCAGGUUGUUGGUGAGGUAAUGGCUCACCAAGCCUUUUACCGGUGCGGGCCGUGAGAGCGGGAGCCCGGAGAUGGGCACUGAGACAAGGGCCCAGGUCCUACGGGGCGCAGCAGUCGCGAAACCUUUGCAAUACACGCAAGUGUGACAGGGUCAUCCCGAGUGCCGACCGCUGAGGUUGGCUUUUACCCAGUCUAGAAAGCUGGGGGAAUAAGGAGAGGGCAAGUCUGGUGUCAGCCGCCGCGGUAAUACCAGCUCUCCGAGUGGUGUGGACGUUUAUUGGGCUAAAGCAUCCGUAGCUGGCUGGACAAGUCCCCUGUUAAACCCACCGAUUUAAUCGUUGGCUUGCGGGGGAUACUGCUGGCUAGGGGACGAGAGAGGCAGACGGUAUUCCCGGGGUAGGGGUGAAAUCCUAUAAUCCCGGGAAGACCACCAGUGGCGAAGGCUGUCUGCUAGAACGCGCCCGACGGUGAGGGAUGAAAGCUGGGGGAGCGAACCGGAUUAGAUACCCGGGUAGUCCCAGCUGUAAACGAUGCAGGCUAGGUGUUUGGACGGCCACGUGCCGUUCUAGUGCCGCAGGGAAGCUGUUAAGCCUGCCGCCUGGGGAGUACGGUCGCAAGAUUGAAACUUAAAGGAAUUGGCGGGGGAGCACCACAAGGGGUGAAGCUUGCGGUUU